RNAcentral lists this ribosomal RNA (253 nucleotides) under uncultured bacterium. RNAcentral describes it as "partial 16S ribosomal RNA". It matches the Rfam family "Bacterial small subunit ribosomal RNA", at positions 524 to 776 of the family's 1533-position model. The record is from RNAcentral.
UACGUAGGGUGCAAGCGUUGUCCGGAAUUAUUGGGCGUAAAGAGCUUGUAGGCGGUUUGUCGCGUCUGCUGUGAAAUUUCGGGGCUCAACCCCGAACUUGCAGUGGGUACGGGCAGACUAGAGUGUGGUAGGGGAGACUGGAAUUCCUGGUGUAGCGGUGAAAUGCGCAGAUAUCAGGAGGAACACCGAUGGCGAAGGCAGCUCGCUGGGACGGAACUGACGCUAAGGCGCGAAAGCGUGGGGAGCGAACAGG